Pocillopora verrucosa is the source of this 456-nucleotide long non-coding RNA. RefSeq lists it as uncharacterized. The record is from RefSeq and is a predicted model, not a curated record. NCBI's taxonomy places the organism in Eukaryota, Metazoa, Cnidaria, Anthozoa, Scleractinia, Pocilloporidae.
UGAUGAUUUGUAAACGUUGCAAAUGUAGCAGAGUAAGAUUAAAUCUUUCCCUCAGUGAGAUGAUUCAGUGUUUCCCAAUGUUCUUCCCUGCAAGGUACUUUUAAAGUGAAUUGGCGGCAUUUUGUUUUGAAUAAGAGAUGCAGCUUUGUAUAACUACAUUCGCUCUUUCGCUGAUCGGCUUCUACUUCAUCACUCAUCACACAACAAAUGCAAAUUUCGAGGAAACAAGAGAACAAGCGAGAGAACACCGAAUGGAAGAAAGGGCGGCAAGUAAGAGUGGAGGGGUUGCGGGUUGGAGGAGAAAGAGGAACGUUAUAGAAAUGACUCCAAGACUUGACGAAAAAACCGCGAAAUCCUUUGGGACGAAAGUAAAAUAAGAAAAUUGAUUUCAGAAAAAUAUUUGUCACUGGGUUAAAGUAUUACUUCAAAUCAUUAAAUGCACAGAUUUUUUUGGUA